CCAGCAGCCGCGGUAAUACGGGAGUGGCAAGCGUUAUCCGGAAUUAUUGGGCGUAAAGCGUCCGCAGGCGGCCUUGUAAGUCUGUUGUUAAAGCGUGGAGCUCAACUCCAUUUGAGCAAUGGAAACUACAAGGCUUGAGUGUGGUAGGGGCAGAGGGAAUUCCCGGUGUAGCGGUGAAAUGCGUAGAUAUCGGGAAGAACACCAGUGGCGAAGGCGCUCUGCUGGGCCAUAACUGACGCUCAUGGACGAAAGCCAGGGGAGCGAAAGGGAUUAGAUACCCCUGUAGUCCUGGCCGUAAACGAUGAACACUAGGUGUCGGGGGAAUCGACCCCCUCGGUGUCGUAGCCAACGCGUUAAGUGUUCCGCCUGGGGAGUACGCACGCAAGUGUGAAACUCAAAGGAAUUGACGGGGGGCCGCACAAGCGGUGGAGUAUGUGGUUAAUCGAUGCACGCGAAGAACCUACCAGGGUUUGACAUCUGCGAACCCUGAGAAAUCGGGGGGUGCCAUCCGGGAACGCAGUGACAGGUGGUGCAUGGCUGUCGUCAGCUCGUGUCGUGAGAUGUUGGGUUAAGUCCCGCAACGAGCGCAACCCACGUCUUUAGUUGCCAGCAUUCAGUUGGGCACUCUAGAGAGACCGCCGGUGAUAAACCGGAGGAAGGUGUGGAUGACGUCAAGUCAUCAUGCCCCUUACAUCCUGGGCUACACACGUACUACAAUGCUACGGACAAAGGGCAGCAAGCUCGCGAGAGUUAGCAAAUCCCAUAAACCGUGGCUCAGUUCAGAUCGUAGGCUGCAACUCGCCUACGUGAAGGAGGAAUCGCUAGUAAUCGCAGGUCAGCAUACUGCGGUGAAUACGUUCCCGGGCCUUGUACACACCGCCCGUCACACCAUGGAAGUUGGCCAUGCCCGAAGUCGUUACUCCAACCCUUGUGGAGGAGGACGCCGAAGGUGGGGCUGAUGACUGGGGUGAAGUCGUAACAAGGUAGCCGAU
This 992-nucleotide ribosomal RNA is filed under the name uncultured cyanobacterium. RNAcentral describes it as "bacterial SSU rRNA". It matches the Rfam family "Bacterial small subunit ribosomal RNA", at positions 508 to 1504 of the family's 1533-position model. Lineage: Bacteria; Bacillati; Cyanobacteriota. The record is from RNAcentral.